Lingula anatina is the source of this 104-nucleotide non-coding RNA. Lineage: Eukaryota; Metazoa; Brachiopoda; Lingulata; Lingulida; Lingulidae. The record is from Rfam.
GCCGCGAUAGCUCAGUUGGGAGAGCGUCAGACUGAAGUCGGCUUGUGUAGCACAAGAUGUCACCAGGUAUCUGAAGGUCGCUGGUUCAAUCCCGGCUCGCGGCA